Molecule: long non-coding RNA, 223 nt
Organism: Neodiprion fabricii
Lineage: Eukaryota; Metazoa; Arthropoda; Insecta; Hymenoptera; Diprionidae
Exons: 2
Source: RefSeq, a predicted model, not a curated record
UAAACGGAGUAAAAAAUUAACGUCCGUGUAUCUUGCGUGUCCUUUCCAAAACUAUGAAACACAUUUUAAUGCGGUAUCGCGAAGGUCUUGUAAAGUAUGUAUUUCUUUCUUUUUUCGUUCUAUGUACAUGUUUAAAUUCCGACAAUUUGUUCCGAUUACAACAAACGUAAACAAACGAAUUACAACCUCGCCCCGAGAUCCCGAUGAAAUUUAAAAAUCGCCG